This 80-nucleotide non-coding RNA is filed under the name marine sediment metagenome. RNAcentral describes it as "c-di-GMP-I riboswitch aptamer". It matches the Rfam family "c-di-GMP-I riboswitch aptamer", at positions 9 to 86 of the family's 87-position model. Rfam says of the family: GEMM was predicted in a large-scale screen for bacterial structured RNA regulatory elements. Genes associated with GEMM are involved in a diverse array of functions, including chemotaxis regulation, signal transduction, secretion and chitin. The record is from RNAcentral. RNAcentral also lists the same sequence under 1 other name.
UCAGGGCAAACCCGGCAAAAGCCGGGGACGCAAAGCUACCGAUCUAAGGGCUCAUCAGCCUAUGACUGCGGAGCUGCCGG